RNAcentral lists this transfer-messenger RNA (396 nucleotides) under Anaerolineales bacterium. It matches the Rfam family "transfer-messenger RNA". From Rfam's summary of the family: Bacterial tmRNA, also known as 10Sa RNA or SsrA, is named for its dual tRNA and mRNA-like properties. Its role is to liberate the mRNA from a stalled ribosome. Lineage: Bacteria; Bacillati; Chloroflexota; Anaerolineae; Anaerolineales. The record is from RNAcentral.
GGGGAUGACAGGCUUCGACGGGAGAGGCUGGUUCCGAAUUGCGAGCCGAGAGGCGCCGACCUCGUUAACUCAGCGCAACCUUUAAGUGCCAACCGCACUAACCUUUCUACUCUGCCCCUCGCCGCAUAGCCGGUAAGGGAUCGAGUAUGACCCCAUAGUGGGUCACGUCCGCCUACCCCGAUCUCCGACCGGUGGUAGAACGGGCGACACAAAGUCGGAGUGCCGCACUUGACGCCACUAAUUGUGUGAAAGAGGGUUUUCGGACCCAAGUGGCUGGCUGGAUGAGAACCUUUGUCGUCUGAAGCUCAUCUGGCGACAACUUUCAAACGACUACGCUCGUAGACAUUCGAGAACUUAAUCUUUCGGACGCGGGUUCGAGUCCCGCCAUCUCCACCU